Molecule: ribosomal RNA, 460 nt
Filed under: uncultured bacterium
Lineage: Bacteria
Description: partial 16S ribosomal RNA
Rfam family: Bacterial small subunit ribosomal RNA
Source: RNAcentral
CCUACGGGUGGCAGCAGUGAGGAAUAUUGGUCAAUGGCCGAGAGGCUGAACCAGCCAAGUCGCGUGAGGGAAGACGGCCCUACGGGUUGUAAACUUCUUUUGUCGGGGAGUAAAGUGAAGCACGUGUGGCUCUUUGUGAGUACCCGAUGAAAAAGCAUCGGCUAACUCCGUGCCAGCAGCCGCGGUAAUACGGAGGAUCCGAGCGUUAUCCGGAUUUAUUGGGUUUAAAGGGAGCGUAGAUGGAUUGUUAAGUCAGUUGUGAAAGUUUGCGGCUCAACCGUAAAAUUGCAGUUGAAACUGGCAGUCUUGAGUACAGUAGAGGUAGGCGGAAUUCGUGGUGUAGCGGUGAAAUGCUUAGAUAUCACGAAGAACUCCGAUUGCGAAGGCAGCUCACUAAACUGCAACUGACACUGAUUCUCGAAAGUGUGGGUAUCAAACAGGAUUAGAUACCCUGGUAGUC